CAGCCGCCGCGGUAAUACCGGCGGCCCGAGUGGCGGCCACUAUUAUUGGGCCUAAAGCGUCCGUAGCCGGGCUGGUAAGUCCUCCGGGAAAUCUGGUCGCUUAACGAUCAGACUUCCGGAGGAUACUGCUGGCCUAGGGACCGGGAGAGGCCGAGGGGAUUCCCGGGGUAGGGGUGAAAUCCUGUAAUCCCGGGAGGGCCACCUGUGGCGAAGGCGCUCGGCUGGAACGGGUCCGACGGUGAGGGACGAAGGCCAGGGGAGCGAACCGGAUUAGAUGCCCGGGUAGUCCUGGCUGUAAACGAUGCGGACUAGGUGUCGGGCAAGCUAAGGGCUUGUCCGGUGCCGCAGGGAAGCCGUUAAGUCCGCCGCCUGGGGAGUACGGCCGCAAGGCUGAAACUUAAAGGAAUUGGCGGG
Molecule: ribosomal RNA, 414 nt
Filed under: uncultured microorganism
Description: bacterial SSU rRNA
Rfam family: Archaeal small subunit ribosomal RNA
Source: RNAcentral